Molecule: ribosomal RNA, 255 nt
Filed under: uncultured bacterium
Lineage: Bacteria
Description: partial 16S ribosomal RNA
Rfam family: Bacterial small subunit ribosomal RNA
Source: RNAcentral
UACAGAGGGUGCGAGCGUUGUUCGGAAUUACUGGGCGUAAAGCGCGCGCAGGCGGCUCUUUAAGUCUACCCGUGAAAUGCCGGAGCUCAACUCCGUGCACGCCGGGGGAUACUGGAGAGCUGGAGACAUGUAGAGGCAAGCGGAAUUCCGGGUGUAGCGGUGGAAUGCGUAGAGAUCCGGAAGAACACCGGAGGCGAAGGCGGCUUGCUGGGCAUGGUCUGACGCUGAGGCGCGAAAGCGUGGGGAGCAAACAGG